AAAGCUUACAACCGGACUCGUCUU
Molecule: non-coding RNA, 24 nt
Filed under: Arabidopsis thaliana (thale cress)
Lineage: Eukaryota; Viridiplantae; Streptophyta; Magnoliopsida; Brassicales; Brassicaceae
Source: RNAcentral